GAAUUUUUCCGCAAUGGGCGAAAGCCUGACGGAGCGACGCCCGCGUGCGUGAUGAAGGCCUUCGGGUCGUAAAUCGCUGUCGGAAAGGGCGAACUGCCAUAGUGCUAAUACCAUUAUGGUUUGACGGUACUUUCCAAGGAAGCCCCGGCUAACUCCGUGCCAGCAGCCGCGGUAAUACGGGGGGGGCAAGCGUUGCUCGGAAUCAUUGGGCGUAAAGGGCUCGUAGGCGGCCUGAUAAGUCGGUUGUGAAAGCCCACGGCUUAACCGUGGAAUUGCGAUCGAUACUGUCGGGCUUGAGUGUGGGAGAGGAAGGCGGAAUUCCCAGUGUAGCGGUGAAAUGCGUAGAUAUUGGGAGGAACACCGGUGGCGAAGGCGGCUUUCUGGACCACAACUGACGCUGAGGAGCGAAAGCGUGGGGAGCAAACAGGAUUAGAUACCCUGGUAGUCCACGCUGUA
Molecule: ribosomal RNA, 456 nt
Filed under: uncultured marine bacterium
Lineage: Bacteria
Description: bacterial SSU rRNA
Rfam family: Bacterial small subunit ribosomal RNA
Source: RNAcentral